UACGGAGGGUGCGAGCGUUGUCCGGAAUCACUGGGCGUAAAGGGCGCGUAGGCGGCGCGGGAAGUCCGUGGUGAAAGCCCGGGGCUCAACUCCGGAAUUGCCUUUAAGACUGCAUCGCUAGAAUUGUGGAGAGGUAAGUGGAAUUCCGAGUGUAGAGGUGAAAUUCGUAGAUAUUCGGAAGAACACCAGUGGCGAAGGCGACUUACUGGACACAUAUUGACGCUGAGGUGCGAAAGCGUGGGGAGCAAACAGG
Molecule: ribosomal RNA, 253 nt
Filed under: uncultured bacterium
Lineage: Bacteria
Description: partial 16S ribosomal RNA
Rfam family: Bacterial small subunit ribosomal RNA
Source: RNAcentral